RNAcentral lists this ribosomal RNA (247 nucleotides) under uncultured bacterium. RNAcentral describes it as "partial 16S ribosomal RNA". It matches the Rfam family "Bacterial small subunit ribosomal RNA", at positions 527 to 779 of the family's 1533-position model. The record is from RNAcentral.
CGGAGGUGCAAGCGUUAAUCGGAAUUACUGGGCGUAAAGCGCACGCAGGCGGUCAGAUAAGUCAGAUGUGAAAGCCCCGGGCUCAACCUGGGAACUGCAUUUGAAACUGUCUGACUAGAGUCUUGUAGAGGGGUAGAAUUCCAGGUGUAGCGGUGAAAUGCGUAGAGAUCUGGAGGAAUACCGGUGCGAAGCGGCCCCUGGACAAAGACUGACGCUCAGGUGCGAAAGCGUGGGAGCAAACAGGAUU